UACGUAGGGGGCAAGCGUUGUCCGGAAUCAUUGGGCGUAAAGAGCGCGUAGGCGGCCCGAUAAGUCCGCUGUGAAAGUCAAGGGCUCAACCCUUGAAUGCCGGUGGAUACUGUCGGGCUAGAGUCCGGAAAAGGCGAGUGGAAUUCCGUGGGUGAUAGCGGUGAAUGACGCAGAUAUCAGGAGGAACACCAAUGGCGAAGGCAGCUCGCUGGGACGGUACUGACGCUGGAGGCGCGGAAAGCGUGGGGGAGCAAACACGG
RNAcentral lists this ribosomal RNA (260 nucleotides) under uncultured bacterium. Its description in RNAcentral is "partial 16S ribosomal RNA". It matches the Rfam family "Bacterial small subunit ribosomal RNA", at positions 524 to 777 of the family's 1533-position model. The record is from RNAcentral.